This 261-nucleotide ribosomal RNA is filed under the name uncultured prokaryote. RNAcentral's name for it is "partial 16S ribosomal RNA". It matches the Rfam family "Bacterial small subunit ribosomal RNA", at positions 524 to 784 of the family's 1533-position model. The record is from RNAcentral.
UGCGUAGGGUGCGGGCGUUAUCCGGAAUUAUUGGGCGUAAAGAGCGCGCAGGUGGUUGAUUAAGUCUGAUGUGAAAGCCCACGGCUUAACCGUGGAGGGUCAUUGGAAACUGGUCGACUUGAGUGCAGAAGAGGGAAGUGGAAUUCCAUGUGUAGCGGUGAAAUGCGUAGAGAUAUGGAGGAACACCAGUGGCGAAGGCGGCUUCCUGGUCUGUAACUGACACUGAGGCGCGAAAGCGUGGGGAGCAAACAGGAUUAGAUA